CCUACGGGAGGCAGCAGUGGGGAAUAUUGGACAAUGGGCGAAAGCCUGAUCCAGCCAUGCCGCGUGUGUGAAGAAGGUCUUCGGAUUGUAAAGCACUUUAAGUUGGGAGGAAGGGCAUUAACCUAAUACGUUAGUGUUUUGACGUUACCGACAGAAUAAGCACCGGCUAACUCUGUGCCAGCAGCCGCGGUAAUACAGAGGGUGCAAGCGUUAAUCGGAAUUACUGGGCGUAAAGCGCGCGUAGGUGGUUUGUUAAGUUGGAUGUGAAAUCCCCGGGCUCAACCUGGGAACUGCAUUCAAAACUGACUGACUAGAGUAUGGUAGAGGGUGGUGGAAUUUCCUGUGUAGCGGUGAAAUGCGUAGAUAUAGGAAGGAACACCAGUGGCGAGGACGACGACC
This 399-nucleotide ribosomal RNA is filed under the name uncultured bacterium. RNAcentral's name for it is "bacterial SSU rRNA". It matches the Rfam family "Bacterial small subunit ribosomal RNA", at positions 338 to 729 of the family's 1533-position model. The record is from RNAcentral.